RNAcentral lists this ribosomal RNA (630 nucleotides) under uncultured bacterium. Its description in RNAcentral is "bacterial SSU rRNA". It matches the Rfam family "Bacterial small subunit ribosomal RNA", at positions 552 to 1202 of the family's 1533-position model. The record is from RNAcentral.
UCUUGGGCGUAAAGUGUUGCGUAGGCGGUUCGACGCAUUUUGUUUGAAAUCCUGAGGCUCAACCUCAGUUUUGGACAAAAUAUGGUCGCACUUGAAGGAUAGAGAGGGUACUGGAACUCUACAUGUAGCAGUGAAAUGCGUUGAUAUGUAGAGGAACACCAAAGGCGUAGGCAGGUACCUGGCUAUCUCUUGACGCUUAGGCACGACAGCUUGGGGAGCGAAGCAGAUUAGAGACCUGCGUAGUCCAAGCCGUAAACGAUGUCCGCUAGUUACCCGGGAUUUCCUGGGUGACGCAAGGUAACCCGUUAAGCGGACCGCCUGGGGAGUACGAGCGCAAGCUUAAAACUCAAAGGAAUUGACGGGGAGGCGCACAAGCAGUGGAGCAUGUGGUUUAAUUCGAGACAAAGCGAAAAACCUCACCAGGAUUUGACAUGUAUCUGCAAGCGCACGGAAACGUGUGACCUUCGAGGGUGAUACACAGAUGCUGCAUGGCUGUCGUCAGCUCGUGGCGUGAGCUGUUCCCUUAAGUGGGUCAACGAGCGCAACCCGCACUGUAUGUUAGAUAAUUCAUACGGAACUGCCCCCUUUCGGGGGAGGAAGGCGCGGAUGACGUCAAGUCAGCACGGCUCU